UACGUAGGGGGCGAGCGUUGUCCGGAGUUACUGGGCGUAAAGGGCAUGCAGGCGGUCGGACGCGUUUCCAGUGACAGCGGGUGGCUUACCUACCCGAGUAUUGGAAAGACGGUUUGACUUGAGGACUCGAGAGGGACACGGAAUUCCGGGUGGAGUGGUGAAAUGCGUAGAUAUCCGGAGGAACACCAACAGCGAAGGCAGUGUCCUGGGAAGUUCCUGACGCUCAGGUGCGAAAGCCAGGGGAGCGAACGG
This 252-nucleotide ribosomal RNA is filed under the name uncultured bacterium. RNAcentral describes it as "partial 16S ribosomal RNA". It matches the Rfam family "Bacterial small subunit ribosomal RNA", at positions 524 to 775 of the family's 1533-position model. The record is from RNAcentral.